RNAcentral lists this ribosomal RNA (450 nucleotides) under uncultured bacterium. RNAcentral describes it as "bacterial SSU rRNA". It matches the Rfam family "Bacterial small subunit ribosomal RNA", at positions 329 to 793 of the family's 1533-position model. The record is from RNAcentral.
GGCCAGACUCCUACGGGAGGCAGCAGUGGGGAAUAUUGCACAAUGGGGGAAACCCUGAUGCAGCGACGCCGCGUGAGUGAAGAAGUAUUUCGGUAUGUAAAGCUCUAUCAGCAGGGAAGAAGCAAGACGGUACCUGACUAAGAAGCCCCGGCUAACUACGUGCCAGCAGCCGCGGUAAUACGUAGGGGGCAAGCGUUAUCCGGAUUUACUGGGUGUAAAGGGAGCGUAGACGGUAUGGCAAGUCUGAAGUGAAAGCCCAGGGCUUAACCCUGGGACUGCUUUGGAAACUGUUAGACUAGAGUGCUGGAGAGGUAAGUGGAAUUCCUAGUGUAGCGGUGAAAUGCGUAGAUAUUAGGAGGAACACCAGUGGCGAAGGCGGCUUACUGGACUGUAACUGACGUUGAGGCUCGAAAGCGUGGGGAGCAAACAGGAUUAGAUACCCCUGUAUAG